RNAcentral lists this long non-coding RNA (519 nucleotides) under Elaeis guineensis (African oil palm). RNAcentral's name for it is "long non-coding RNA (EGUI_LNC077310)". The record is from RNAcentral. Lineage: Eukaryota; Viridiplantae; Streptophyta; Magnoliopsida; Arecales; Arecaceae.
UCGGGAGUAGGACAGUUUGGUAACACUAUGGGUUCCUGAUCGAGUACAUGACCUAAUUUUUUUGAGGUCAGAAUAAUUUUGAGGUUUCUGAGCUAAUCUUUGUAAUUAGUUCUGAUCAAAUGAUUGAUUUCAAAGGUGCGAGCAAGAGGAUUUGAGGCUGACAUUAUUUAACUGUGAGAGUAGAGAUUCAAGUUAGAUUUUUAUACUUUAAUGUUAUGUUUGCUUCUAGGGACUUUAAGAUGCAAAUAAUGACUCCCACUAAUUUUUCAGAUCCCUUCACUCUUCGAGUGAAAAAUAAAAAUCUUAACACGAUAAAAGAUUCCUAGUGGGUGCUGUGAUCCCACCGAUGCCAUGUCCUCACCUAACAAUUAUUGGUAACAUGCAUACCAAUGCAUAGGCAACUCUUUGCCUAGAUGCUUCUCUAAGUAUAUUACAGUGACUUGAUCUCUAAGUCAUAUAUGCUUACCUAACAGUUAUUGAUUACACUCCUUAGUUAAGCUCAACCCACCAUUCACAAGC